RNAcentral lists this ribosomal RNA (254 nucleotides) under uncultured bacterium. RNAcentral's name for it is "partial 16S ribosomal RNA". It matches the Rfam family "Bacterial small subunit ribosomal RNA", at positions 28 to 279 of the family's 1533-position model. The record is from RNAcentral.
GACGAACGCUGGCGGCGUGCUUAACACAUGCAAGUCGAGCGGUAAGGCCCUUUCGGGGUACGACGAGCGGCGAACGGGUAGAGUAACACGUGGGUGACCUCGCCCUCAGCUCUGGGAGUAAGCCUGGGAAACCGGGUCGUAAUACCGGAUAUGACUCCAUGACGCAUGUUGUGGGGUGGAAAGCCUUGUGCGGCUGAGGAUGGGCCCGCGGCCUAUCAGCUUGUUGGUGGGGUGAUGGCCUACCAAGGCGACGA